GAUCCUGGCUCAGGACGAACGCUGGCGGCACGCCUAACACAUGCAAGUCGAGCGGAGAAUUGAACUUCGGUUUAAUUCUUAGCGGCGGACGGGUGAGUAACACGUGAGCAACCUGCCUUUAAGAGAGGGAUAGCUUCUGGAAACGGAUGGUAAUACCUCAUAAAAUAUGUUUAUCGCAUGGUAGACAUAUCAAAGAUUUAUCGCUUAGAGAUGGGCUCGCGUCUGAUUAGAUAGUUGGG
This 239-nucleotide ribosomal RNA is filed under the name uncultured bacterium. Its description in RNAcentral is "partial 16S ribosomal RNA". It matches the Rfam family "Bacterial small subunit ribosomal RNA", at positions 15 to 253 of the family's 1533-position model. The record is from RNAcentral.